UCUAAUAUGGCAGAUAAGUGCAAUGGAUUUAAGCUCCAGAAAUAAAGUCUAUAGCUUUUUUUAGAA
RNAcentral lists this transfer RNA (66 nucleotides) under Sorineuchora nigra. RNAcentral describes it as "tRNA-Leu". The record is from RNAcentral. Lineage: Eukaryota; Metazoa; Arthropoda; Insecta; Blattodea; Pseudophyllodromiidae.